CCCUUAGAUGUCCUGGGCUGCACGCGCGCUACACUGACGCACGCAACAGGUGCCUGCUCCGAGAGGACUGGGUAAUCAUUUGAGUGUGCGUCGUGAUGGGGAUAGAAUAUUGUAAUUAUUACUCUUCAACGAGGAAUUCCUAGUAAGCGCCAGUCAGCAGCUUGCGCUGAUUACGUCCCUGCCCUUUGUACACACCGCCCGUCGCUCCUACCGAUGGGUGAUCCGGUGAAUGAUUCGGACUUCAGCGGCUCCCCUGGGGUGCGCCGGAGAAAGUUUUGUGAACCUUAUCACUUGGAGGAAGGGGAAGUCGUAACA
This 315-nucleotide ribosomal RNA is filed under the name uncultured eukaryote. RNAcentral describes it as "partial 18S ribosomal RNA". It matches the Rfam family "Eukaryotic small subunit ribosomal RNA", at positions 1470 to 1796 of the family's 1831-position model. The record is from RNAcentral.